CUCAUUUAAGGGUUGGCAGUGAAAGCUGGAGUAUUUCUUCCUGGUGGUCUGAGUGUUCCUGAAGAUUUCUGAAGAAACAAGAGAGGGAUGGUGCUGACUGAAAGGAAAUCGACUCUUUCUAAUGAAAAAUAAGGACUAUUUGCUUGGAAAGGACUAUUUAGGAGUGUGUGACUUCUGUACGUAUGCAGUCAACAUGAUACUGGUUUCUUCGGCUUGAUCAUCUUCUGGCUAUGUUCCUUUGGGUGGUAAAAGGAUAUAGAAGUCUUACCUCUUCAGAGGAGAGGAAGUGAGAAAGCUAGCUGGGUUGGCAGCAGAGAGCUGGCCAAAAUCGAUCCACUCCAGAUGCCACGUGAGAUGUGUAUGUUCCUAGUAUCUUUCAGUGUGAAGUCCUAAAACUGUGAGUUUGCACACGCAGGUUUUCUGUGUACUUCCCAGGAAGAGCCAGGUGUUUGCAAUUGUCCUCCCAAACUCAGACAUGUUACCGAAAGGCUAUAGUUGUCAAACCGUGCUCCAUAAAGCCGCGGUGGGCAGUGCAACUGAGCUGCACAGCCUUACGUGUGGCAUUUUCUGAUGGAGGUUUGGCAUUAUGCUAAUCUUGAAGCAAUUUGUACAGAUCCUAAUCCAAAUUCCUGAGGAACGUAUUGUUGUUUGAGGUUUUCAAAUCAGCUGAGAGUCAGAACUAGAAAGCAAUAUGGCUUAUGUGCCUCAUUGAAAGUCUGUGCUGUGGUUUUAGCUAUAGCUAUUUAGCUAUGUAUUUGUAUUUUAGACAGUCCCAGCCUGGGAGGGACUUGCUUCCAGAUGUCAUGUGAGCAGGAAAGAGGAAGGAAGGUUGCUGAGUAAUAGUUACUAAUGUGUGUAAUAAAUACUGUGGUGUUAGGCGCAUCUCUUCAUUGACACGGAGGACUUCAAGCUUCUAGCCUCUUUGAGGAUUGAAGUAUUAAGUAAAAAAAACAGUUCAUGUUUUUAAUUGGAGAUGAGAAUUUAUAAGAAUUUUUAUGCAUACAUUUUCAAGAACACUGCAAUUUGUAUCUUACUAAAUGUUAUGCAUGUCAUUUCCUUGCUCUCUUUUCUGUUAUUAGGUCCUUCGGGAUAAUUUUUUUUUUCCUAAGAAAGAAGCAAACUUUGUAACUUCUCUCCAUCUUUGUCAGUCCUGUUCAGUGCCCAGUUCCCCCACCUUCCCCCCCAAAAAAAACCCCAAAACCAACAACAAUGAUAAAAAAAAAAAAAAAACAACUACUUGCUAAAUAUGCAUGAAUUUCGAGCAAUUGCUAUGGAGUUGAAGAAAAAAGCCUACCUAACCAUGUUAUGUUUCAGUUUCCCAUAUAUUGAUAUUCCCAAUUGGAGUGCUUACACUUUGCUGGAUUUCUAAAUUACUUAGCAAUCUACACAUAAAAAGAUAUACUAAAAAGUGCAAUUACGUUUUUGCUUCUCAGGAAUAGCUCCAGAGGGUCCAUUUUGUUACAGCACAUAAACAUUUUGACAUUGCUACUUAUUUUUAAAUAUUUAGGAAUUUAGAAUUGUUUUUUUGAUCAGUACUCUAGUGGAUUUUCUAGGAAAGUCAUUAAUGUUUAUUGUGUAAAUCUUUCAUGGUUUCAAGUUGAGAUAGUAGUAGAGAAGUAACCAUUCCGGUCUGUUACUGGCUCAAUUAAGUCAUGCUGCUUUUUUAAUAUUUUGGACCUUUUUUUGUGUGAAUGUUUGCCUUUUAAGACUUUUGUUAAAUUAAUUUAAGAAAAAAGUCAUGUGGAUGGAAAGAAGCUUAAUUAUAUGGAGGACUGUAUUUAAAAUAAAAGGGAUUAACAGUGCUGGAAGUAACUUAAA
This is a non-coding RNA of Meleagris gallopavo (turkey), 1818 nucleotides long. NCBI's taxonomy places the organism in Eukaryota, Metazoa, Chordata, Aves, Galliformes, Phasianidae. The record is from RefSeq and is a predicted model, not a curated record.